Molecule: ribosomal RNA, 665 nt
Filed under: Oedura marmorata (marbled velvet gecko)
Lineage: Eukaryota; Metazoa; Chordata; Lepidosauria; Squamata; Diplodactylidae
Description: partial 12S ribosomal RNA
Rfam family: Bacterial small subunit ribosomal RNA
Source: RNAcentral
AAAACACCUCGCCAAUGCCACACCCCCACGGAACCCAGCAGUGAUUAACAUUAGGCCAUAAGCCAAAGCUUGACCUAGUCUCAGUCAAACUAAACAAGGGCCGGUAAACUCCGUGCCAGCCACCGCGGUUACACGCAGGGCCCAAGAUAAUAAACACUCGGCGUAAAAUGUGACUAGAGAAUAAUUUAACCAUAAAGAAAUCAUAACUACAAUAUAGUCGUAAAAUACCCAUAUAUGUAAGAUCAACCAUCAAAUUUCUUUUGUAGAAUAACCUUGACCUCACGAAAACUAAGACACAAACUGGGAUUAGAUACCCUACUAUGCUUAAUCGUUAACCCAGGUAGUACCAUAACCAACUACCCGCCAGAGAAUUACAAGUGAAAAGCUUAAAACUCAAAGGACUUGACGGUGUUCCACACCAACCUAGAGGAGCCUGUCCUAUAACCGAUACCCCACGAUACACCUCACCCUAACUUGCAACCAGCCUAUAUACCGCCGUCGCCAGCUUACCUAACAAUAGAAAACUAUAGUAAGCAAAAUGGGCCCCUCCCCCAAAAACGUCAGGUCAAGGUGUAGCUAAUGAUAGGGCAGAGAUGGGCUACAUUUUCUUUAAAUAGAACACACCGUAAGCAAUAUGAAACACAAGCCAAAAGGUGGAUUUAGCA